AGUCAUAUGCUUGUCUCAAAGAUUAAGCCAUGCAUGUCUCAGUACAAGCCAAAUUAAGGUGAAACCGCGAAAGGCUCAUUAAAUCAGUUAUGGUUCCUUAGAUCGUACCCACAUUUACUUGGAUAACUGUGGUAAUUCUAGAGCUAAUACAUGCCAACAGAACUCCGACCGGAGACGGAAGGAGUGCCUUUAUUAGAUCAAAACCAAUCGGUGGCGCGGCUUCGGCCGUGUCAUCGUACAACAUGGUGAAUCUGAAUAACGUUUGCUGAUCGCACGGUCUCGCACCGGCGACGCAUCUUUCAAAUGUCUGCCUUAUCAACUGUCGAUGGUAGGUUCUGCGCCUACCAUGGUUGUAACGGGUAACGGGGAAUCAGGGUUCGAUUCCGGAGAGGGAGCCUGAGAAACGGCUACCACAUCCAAGGAAGGCAGCAGGCGCGCAAAUUACCCACUCCCGGCACGGGGAGGUAGUGACGAAAAAUAACGAUACGGGACUCAUCCGAGGCCCCGUAAUCGGAAUGAGCACACUUUAAAUCCUUUCACGAGGAUCAAUCGGAGGGCAAGUCAGGUGCCAGCAGCCGCGGUAAUUCCUGCUCCGAUAGCGUA
This 603-nucleotide ribosomal RNA is filed under the name Speonomites velox. RNAcentral describes it as "SSU rRNA". It matches the Rfam family "Eukaryotic small subunit ribosomal RNA", at positions 22 to 601 of the family's 1831-position model. The record is from RNAcentral. Lineage: Eukaryota; Metazoa; Arthropoda; Insecta; Coleoptera; Leiodidae.